UACGAAGGGGGCUAGCGUUGCUCGGAAUGACUGGGCGUAAAGGGCGCGUAGGCGGAUGGCACAGUCAGAUGUGAAAUUCCCGGGCUUAACCUGGGGGCUGCAUUUGAUACGUGUUGUCUUGAGUUCGGAAGAGGGUCGUGGAAUUCCCAGUGUAGAGGUGAAGUGCGUAGAUAUCGGGAGGAACACCAGUGGCGAAGGCGACUUCCUGGCCUGUUCUUGACGCUGAGGCGCGAAAGCUAGGGGAGCAAACGGG
This 253-nucleotide ribosomal RNA is filed under the name uncultured bacterium. RNAcentral describes it as "partial 16S ribosomal RNA". It matches the Rfam family "Bacterial small subunit ribosomal RNA", at positions 524 to 776 of the family's 1533-position model. The record is from RNAcentral.